This is a long non-coding RNA of Aegilops tauschii subsp. strangulata, 480 nucleotides long. RefSeq lists it as uncharacterized. The record is from RefSeq and is a predicted model, not a curated record. NCBI's taxonomy places the organism in Eukaryota, Viridiplantae, Streptophyta, Magnoliopsida, Poales, Poaceae.
AGAGCACAUGAUGGCGUUAGCCAAUAACAACAACCUUAGUUCUUGGGCUGCCAUACUCGCCAUGGCUCUCCUAGUCAUGGCUACCUUUUCUUUCUACGAAGGAGUGUCAGAUGAAGUGGUGAGCGAUACGACUGGAGAGACAUGUGUGGCUGACUAUGAAUGUGAUCAGACAUCGUGUGAAGUUAGGUGCCAGAUCAUGAACAUGGACCCAAGAGGCCGGAUCAAUUCCCUAUUGUUGUUGCCGCCCAUGACUACAUGCGGCACAUCAGAUAUGAAAAUAAUGGAAAAUGUUCUGAGACCAUAAUUCAUGUAUCUUCUGCAUGCUUGGUCAAUUAAUAGGAAUGAUAAGAGGAGAUUGCUUUUUGUUUGUUUGGCGAGGGGAUAAGAGGAGAUUGCUCGCCACAUAUAUUGAAGAAGUACUCUGUUUUUUGGCCAUGUGCGUUUGUUACAAAUUAUUAUAUAGUUUCAAUCAGAUUUAAA